UCUCUGUGGUCAAACCACCCUGCCAGCCUCCCUGCUGCAGCCGGCAGCACGUCACUCCAUGCGGGAGGGGAGCCCCACCUAAGGGUACCGAGUGAGACCCAGCUGACCUGGAAAAUGACAGGGACACUUUUUAUCCUUCCAACUUAACCUUUCCGUCCUGACUUAACCUUUCCCUCUUUGACACAAAUGAAGAAAUUAGGGCUCUUGACUGCUACUGAUUUAAGGGGAUUACAGAGGCACUGCCAGCGAGCAUGAGCACAAGAGUUUAGCGCCUCUCGGCAGCUGAGAGAGGAUGCUGCAUACUUGGGGCCUGGGACCUCCGAGAAGACCUUCUUCAGCCGAAAGCACACCUUAUUCUUGUCCCAGUUGAAGGCUUCCCAACGGUCUUCAUGUGGCACUUGCUGUGUGCCAGGCCCCACUCUGGGCACUUGGUUUAUUUAAUUCUAACCAUGGUCCUAGGUGAUGGGCGCUGGUAUGACUGUGGGAAAGGGACAAGGUGGGAGAUGUGAACGAACUUCCGGAGCCCUCCCUCGGGCAGCCUAGCUCCCCGCCUCCUCCAACACCUUCUGUUGCUUUUCCAGCACAGCCAGUACUGGGCUCUUGGGUUCGAGCACGGGGCGGGGUGAAGGGUGCUGGGAGGUCACAUUCUUGCUUCCCAGCACUGAAGACUGGAAGAAUGAAUGGCACAGAUGAACAAGGCCGUCCUGCAUCCGCCGCUCACUAGAGGCUUCACAGCUGCGUAGGGACACAGGACAUCUGUACAAUAAAUACCAAUGGUAUUAGUGCCCUAGGGCUGCAGGAACAAAGCACCACAGACUGGGGGUGCUGGAACAGCAGAAACUCAGGCUCUCCCAUUUCUGGAUGCCGGAAGUCCAAAAUCUAGUGUCGGCAGGGCUGUGUCCUCUCUGAGGUUUCCAGGGGAGGAGGCUUCCUUGCUUCUCUGGCUUCUGGUGGUGGCUGGCAAUGCUCGGCAUUCCUUGGCUUAUGGACGCAGCACUGAAAUUGCAGCCCUUAUCUUCAUGUGGCCUUCCUUGUGGCGCUCUGUGUCCAAAUGUCCCUCUCCUCUAAGGACACCAGUCAUCGGAUUAGGCCAGCUCUAAUCCGGUGUGCCUCAUCUUGAUUUAACUAACUACAUCUGCAAAGACACUAUUUCCAGAUUACGUCACGUUCCGAGGUUCCUGGUGGACGUGAAUUUUUGGAAGACGCUGUCCAACCUGGGACACCAGCCAGCCCCUCUCUGGCUCCCUCAGUCCCUCCACCCUUCGGAAGUGGUAAAUGGUGGCUUGCUAACAGCGCCUGUAGCAGCCACCUCCUGGUGAUGGCAAAGGAAGGGCCCUCUCAGUCAUAGGGGCCAAUGGCGAGGAGGACCUGGGACGUGGUGCACUGAGCAUUUUCCCUUCUCAGCAGCUCACUCCUUUGUGUGUCUGUGAUGCGAAGGCUGUGACAUCAGUCAGCCUCAUGGAGAACUGGAACAACGGGCUCUGUGUCUUUGGAGAACGCGUCAAGACCAGGGCCUCUUCCCCUGCUCCCAUGGUUCCCAGCGUUCUUGUCUCCUGAGAGAGGAUGUAGUGGGUGUCAUGUUCAGCAUCGCAACUGGCCUCCGUGGAAACCAGGGUGGAGCUCAGACGGGUGUGGGGGGAGCAUGUGACUGAGCUCCUUCCCACUCUCUCUCCGGCACACACGGAGUCAGUGUAGGGAGGUGAUGGGUAAGGGCUUGAGUUUUGGGGUUGCACAGCUUGUGGGGACCCCACCUCAUUUCCUAGCUAGGCAGACCUGGCCCAGUGUCUGACCUUUCCCAUCUGUAAAUUAGGGGUGCAAAUAGCAUCCACCUCCGGGGUGUGGUGAAGGUGGAGCCAGUACCCAGCCAGUCCAGCUCUUUUUUGUUAGGAUUGCCCCACUGCGGCCACACCCUUCCAUCUGCCCGCUCCUGUUCCCGCAGGUAGACUCAGCCUGUGGGAUUCUGGCCUGGCUUCCCGGCAGCAAGCAGGAGCUUCAGAUGCUCAUUCCCGCCGCGGUCGGCUGUGGCGGCGACUCAUACCCGUUUCCGCUCGAAUGAUGCCAGCUGUCCUGCUGCGCCACCUUCCUCUGUCCUCGCAUCCGCUGAUGGGAUUUCCGGUCGCUUCCACUUUGUGGCUCUUUUGAAGAAUGCCGCUAGGAACAUUCACACGCAGGUUUUUGGUGUGGACGUUCUUGGCCAUAAAAUAUGGCUUUUGGAAAAAUAAAGCUGAGACUUGGAGUUCACGGUGGGGGCUCCCCCAUCUGUGAACAGAAGCAGAAGUUUGGAACUGCCUUCUUUACUGCUCGAGAGGGAAAACUUGAGUGAAAACCAGGAUGCUGGCGAAUGUUGAGUAGCUAAGCUGCACAGGAAAUACCACUUGAUGACCUGCGAUCUGGGGAAGCCGCGCCAGGGCUCUGCGAAGCUGCGGACGAGGGAGGCGUCAGUGUGGGGGCUGCAGCUCAGCUCCGGGGGGGACGCGCCUUUCUCCACGGGACCUGGGGCUCAGGUGCUCACGAGGCUGGGGCGCUGCAGGCCACCCGCAGGGGAAACUGAGGCCCUCCAUUUUGUGGGGCUGGAAGACCUUUCCUUCCAAAAGCAGGUGUAGGCGGGAGCACCUGUGCAGUCCCUCUGUUCAGAUCCUCACCCACUUUUAAAUCAGGAAACAGCAGAUGAAAUGCACAGUGUGAAGGACAAGGAUUCUGCUGAGAGAAUUGCUCCGAGGGUUGCUCAAGUGAUCAUGGGAAAUAAUGCAUCAAACCAUUCUUUAGAUGCAGCUCAGGUGUGCCUUUUCUUCGCCUGUGCCCAUCCACCUGAGAUGGACCAUAACCAUAAAAGUCAGAAGGCACUGACCCUUCAGGACGUGACAGGGUUAAAAGAUGCUGGAGGGAAAGUCUGUCAUUGACUUUUAUUCACUUCCUUUCUCCAUUCUGCCAUUUGGAAGAAGCAUAAAUUGCAGAUGAUAAUUCAAAUUCCUGCAUCAGGUGGAAAGUAGCAGAUUUAAAACACUGCAAAGAAGGGGCUGAGCAGUGAGACGGAUGCUUUGGAACAAUCGAGAAAGUAAGAGCCAGCUGUAAGGUUGCCUGCAGCCAUGGAGCAAUGAAGUGUCAAGGUCAAAGAUCCCCCCAGGUCACGCAGUCCUGCCACUCUCCCUCCCUCUAUGGCCCUGCGCACUUCCAGUGGCAUAGCUAGGGUGGAUGAAGGGGACACCUCUGACCACAUCUCUCUGCCCUCUGACUCAAGUCCUUCCUGCUAUAAUGAAAUCCCCCAUGCUCCCUGAGUUUGGCAUCUACUUAAUCAAAGAAUGUGGAGACUUAGUUCUCAGGAGGGCCGCUACUGAGUGGGUAUGCCACUGGUCAAGAGGGUAACAGGAGACAGAAGACCCAGGAGGAGACUUUGGCCUAAAUGGAUCAGCAACACCACAGAGCAUCCACUCCCCCAGAGCAUCACCCGGAAGGACCAUCCGUUCGGAGACAUCCUGGGAGAACAAGAGGUUUCUUGUCUGACUCUAAAAUUUAUUUUAUCAGUGUAUCUAGGAUUGGGCUGAGUUUAAACAGAAAACCUUUAAAUAAGCACUAUAUGCCUGCUAGACAUAUUAAUGCAAUAAAAGAACCCUGUGUCUUGCUAAACUAAAUUCUCAAAAGUUAACAUUAAAAAAUGAUUCACGG
Molecule: long non-coding RNA, 3663 nt
Filed under: Homo sapiens (human)
Lineage: Eukaryota; Metazoa; Chordata; Mammalia; Primates; Hominidae
Description: HSALNT0084011
Source: RNAcentral